This 403-nucleotide ribosomal RNA is filed under the name uncultured bacterium. RNAcentral describes it as "partial 16S ribosomal RNA". It matches the Rfam family "Bacterial small subunit ribosomal RNA", at positions 355 to 749 of the family's 1533-position model. The record is from RNAcentral.
UGGGGAAUAUUGCGCAAUGGGCGCAAGCCUGAUGCAGCCAUGCCGCGUGUGUGAAGAAGGCCUUCGGGUUGUAAAGCACUUUCAGCGAGGAGGAAGGGUUCAGUGUUAAUAGCACUGUUCAUUGACGUUACUCGCAGAAGAAGCACCGGCUAACUCCGUGCCAGCAGCCGCGGUAAUACGGAGGGUGCAAGCGUUAAUCGGAAUUACUGGGCGUAAAGCGCACGCAGGCGGUUUGUUAAGUCAGAUGUGAAAUCCCCGCGCUUAACGUGGGAACUGCAUUUGAAACUGGCAAGCUAGAGUCUUGUAGAGGGGGGUAGAAUUCCAGGUGUAGCGGUGAAAUGCGUAGAGAUCUGGAGGAAUACCGGUGGCGAAGGCGGCCCCCCUGGACAAAGACUGACGCUCA